CCUACGGGAGGCAGCAGUGAGGAAUAUUGGUCAAUGGACGAGAGUCUGAACCAGCCAAGUAGCGUGAAGGAUGACUGCCCUAUGGGUUGUAAACUUCUUUUAUAAAGGAAUAAAACGAGGCACGUGUGCCUUUUUGCAUGUACUUUAUGAAUACGGAUCGGCUAACUCCGUGCCAGCAGCCGCGGUAAUACGGAGGAUCCGAGCGUUAUCCGGAUUUAUUGGGUUUAAAGGGAGCGUAGAUGGGUUGUUAAGUCAGUUGUGAAAGUUUGCGGCUCAACCGUAAAAUUGCAAUUGAUACUGGCAGUCUUGAGUACAGUUGAGGUAGGCGGAAUUCGUGGUGUAGCGGUGAAAUGCUUAGAUAUCACGAAGAACCCCGAUUGCGAAGGCAGCUUACCAAACUGUAACUGACAUUGAUGCUCGAAAGUGUGGGUAUCAAACAGGAUUAGAUACCCCUGUAGUC
Molecule: ribosomal RNA, 460 nt
Filed under: uncultured bacterium
Lineage: Bacteria
Description: partial 16S ribosomal RNA
Rfam family: Bacterial small subunit ribosomal RNA
Source: RNAcentral